This 35-nucleotide ribosomal RNA is filed under the name Leccinum rigidipes. RNAcentral describes it as "partial 18S ribosomal RNA". The record is from RNAcentral. Lineage: Eukaryota; Fungi; Basidiomycota; Agaricomycetes; Boletales; Boletaceae.
AGGCUGUCGCUGGCUAGGUCAUUCUAGCAUGUGCA